UACGUAGGGUGCAAGCGUUAAUCGGAAUUACUGGGCGUAAAGCGUGCGCAGGCGGUUUUGUAAGACUGUCGUGAAAUCCCCGGGCUCAACCUGGGAAUGGCGAUGGUGACUGCAAGGCUAGAGUUUGGCAGAGGGGGGUAGAAUUCCACGUGUAGCAGUGAAAUGCGUAGAUAUGUGGAGGAAUACCGAUGGCGAAGGCAGCCCCCUGGGUCAAUACUGACGCUCAUGCACGAAAGCGUGGGGAGCAAACAGG
RNAcentral lists this ribosomal RNA (253 nucleotides) under uncultured bacterium. RNAcentral's name for it is "partial 16S ribosomal RNA". It matches the Rfam family "Bacterial small subunit ribosomal RNA", at positions 524 to 776 of the family's 1533-position model. The record is from RNAcentral.